UACGAAGGGGGCUAGCGUUGUUCGGAAUUACUGGGCGUAAAGGGCGCGUAGGCGGUUUUCCAAGUCAGGUGUGAAAGCCCGGGGCUCAACUCCGGAUGUGCACUUGAGACUGGGAGGCUUGGGUUCGGGAGAGGAUGGUGGAAUUCCCAGUGUAGAGGUGAAAUUCGUAGAUAUUGGGAAGAACACCGGUGGCGAAGGCGGCCAUCUGGACCGAUACCGACGCUGAGGCGCGAAAGCGUGGGGAGCAAACAGG
Molecule: ribosomal RNA, 253 nt
Filed under: uncultured bacterium
Lineage: Bacteria
Description: partial 16S ribosomal RNA
Rfam family: Bacterial small subunit ribosomal RNA
Source: RNAcentral